GAUGAACGCUGGCGGCGUGCCUAAUACAUGCAAGUCGAGCGAACAGACGAGGAGCUUGCUCCUCUGACGUUAGCGGCGGACGGGUGAGUAACACGUGGAUAACCUACCUAUAAGACUGGGAUAACUUCGGGAAACCGGAGCUAAUACCGGAUAAUAUAUUAACCGCAAUGGUUCAUUAGUGAAAGACGGUUUUGCUGUCCCUUAUAGAUGAAUCCGCGCCGCAUUAGCUAGUUGGUAAGGUAACGGCUUACCAAGGCAACGAUGCGUAGCCGACCUGAGAGGGUGAUCGGCCACACUGGAACUGAGACACGGUCCAGACUCCUACGGGAGGCAGCAGUAGGGAAUCUUCCGCAAUGGGCGAAAGCCUGACGGAGCAACGCCGCGUGAGUGAUGAAGGUCUUCGGAUCGUAAAACUCUGUUAUUAGGGAAGAACAAAUGUGUAAGUAACUAUGCACGUCUUGACGGUACCUAAUCAGAAAGCCACGGCUAACUACGUG
This 497-nucleotide ribosomal RNA is filed under the name uncultured bacterium. RNAcentral's name for it is "partial 16S ribosomal RNA". It matches the Rfam family "Bacterial small subunit ribosomal RNA", at positions 28 to 507 of the family's 1533-position model. The record is from RNAcentral.